UACAGAGGGUGCGAGCGUUAAUCGGAAUUAUUGGGCGUAAAGGGCGCGUAGGUGGCUUGGUAAGUCAAAGGUGAAAUCCCUCGGCUCAACUGAGGAAUUGCCUUUGAAACUGCCUGGCUUGAGGCCGGGAGGGGGUAGCGGAAUUCCCAGUGUAGCGGUGAAAUGCGUAGAUACUGGGAGGAACACCGGUGGCGAAGGCGGCUACCUGGACCGGUUCUGACACUGAGGCGCGAAAGCGUGGGGAGCAAACAGG
RNAcentral lists this ribosomal RNA (253 nucleotides) under uncultured bacterium. RNAcentral describes it as "partial 16S ribosomal RNA". It matches the Rfam family "Bacterial small subunit ribosomal RNA", at positions 524 to 776 of the family's 1533-position model. The record is from RNAcentral.